ACACAUGCAAGUCGAACGGAGAUUACUUCGGUAAUCUUAGUGGCGAACGGGUGAGUAACGCGUGGGCAACCUGCCCUCUAGAUGGGGACAACAUCCCGAAAGGGGUGCUAAUACCGAAUGUGACAGCAAUCUCGCAUGAGGAUGCUGUGAAAGAUGGCCUCUAUUUAUAAGCUAUCGCUAGAGGAUGGGCCUGCGUCUGAUUAGCUAGUUGGUGGGGUAACGGCCUACCAAGGCGAUGAUCAGUAGCCGGUCUGAGAGGAUGAACGGCCACAUUGGGACUGAGACACGGCCCAGACUCCUACGGGAGGCAGCAGUGGGGAAUCUUCCGCAAUGGGCGAAAGCCUGACGGAGCAAUGCCGCGUGAGUGAUGAAGGAAUUCGUUCCGUAAAGCUCUUUUGUUUAUGACGAAUGUGCAGGUUGUGAAUAAUGACUUGUAAUGACGGUAGUAAACGAAUAAGCCACGGCUAACUACGUGCCAGCAGCCGCGGUAAUACGUAGGUGGCGAGCGUUGUCCGGAAUUAUUGGGCGUAAAGAGCAUGUAGGCGGUUUUUUAAGUCUGGAGUGAAAAUGCGGGGCUCAACCCCGUAUGGCUCUGGAUACUGGAAGACUUGAGUGCAGGAGAGGAAAGGGGAAUUCCCAGUGUAGCGGUGAAAUGCGUAGAUAUUGGGAGGAACACCAGUGGCGAAGGCGCCUUUCUGGACUGUGUCUGACGCUGAGAUGCGAAAGCCAGGG
Molecule: ribosomal RNA, 732 nt
Filed under: uncultured bacterium
Lineage: Bacteria
Description: bacterial SSU rRNA
Rfam family: Bacterial small subunit ribosomal RNA
Source: RNAcentral